GCUCACUGAAUGAAAUGAAUCACUGGUGGCAAGAGUCACCUGCCGGCACUGGGGCUGAGCUCUCUCUACUUUCUCCAAGAACCAAGGUGUGGCCAUUGAAUGGCUUUUGUGGAAACUUUCCAUGAGGGAAACUUUCCAGUUGCUCCCUCCCCAGGAGGCCUGGAGUUUUAUCCCGGCCUUAAAGAUUACGUGAGCGGUGGAGCUUGGCCGAGGAGCCCUUCCCGGCAGUGCCAUCGCCGACUGCCCCAGGCUGCCACCGCGCAGCUCUUGCUGAUUUUAUGGCUGCUGAGUCAUGACGGCCAGCACGCUCCUUCACGCAGACGCCCCUGCAACCUCCUAGGGAAGGGACGGCCCCUCCUGCAAGCCAGCGCCUGCGGUGGCACUGCAUGUGUGCACCAGUCAAGUAUGUCAACGGCUCAGCCCCAGCUCCUCAACCCCGAGGGGGAGCAUUUGGAGCGCAGGCCCUUCUUGGGCCUCAAAGGUCUGCCUCCCUGAGGCCAGAGGGACAGAUUCCAGCAGCUGCAGAAACCUGCCCCUCCUCUGCAGCUGCUCCUGGCACCCCUCCCUGCUCGCCCUUGCUCAUCGUCCAUGCCCAUAGGAAAGGGCGAGGAGGCUGACAGUGGCCACCAGCCACUGGGCAUGGAUCCGAAGCCAGAGGCGUGGAGAAGCCUGAGGACGUGGUGAUCUUGGUGAAGUGCUGAGCCACAGAGCCUUGCCAGUCUCCCGUGGGCCACCAGGAUGAUAAUACCCACCACCCAGGGUCGCAGAGGGGGCCAGACAAGCCAAGCCCAGGUCCCAGGCCAAGGCUGUUGGGCCUUCUUGAUGCCUGGUCGCCAUCUAGUGCUCAAAAAGAGUAACUGAAUGUCCCCCAUUGCAAACAGCAGGUGCCUCCUGGAACGCAGGCCAGGAGAGGACGCGGAUUUCGUCCAGCCUCAGAGCGCCCGUUUGAGGAAUCCCUUCGAAAGGCCCCAGAUCCAAGCUGGGACUCCUCGCUGCAUUUGGACAACUCUACAUGUGAGAGCCCUACUCCCCGUGGCAGUCCAGGCCUUUGCACACCUAGCAUGACGUUUCACCCAGAGUUCCCCAAGAUGAACCGCAGCAAGCAACAUAAGGGACAGAGAAGGGCUGGGCCUGACUCUGGUGUAAGUGUGGCUGGUGAGGAGUCACCGCGCCAGGCGUCCAUCGUCCUGUCUUGUCUGUUUAUUAGCACGUCCUAUAUCUGGAAAUGGAAAGGUAACAAUAAUACAGAUUCCUCCCCACAGGAGAGAGGCCAGGCCAGAAAAAGAGAAGGGUAGAGCCAACUGCUGGGUGGUGGGGAGGGAUAGGCCUGGGAAGCUUUAAACCCAAAGGCCAGGAUGCCACCCAGACUGCAAACCCAGCACCGUGCCAGCCCACCGAGUGCUGCAGAGGCUCCUGUUGUGUGGUUGCACCUGGAGGGUGGAGUCACCCCUGAACCUGGGGGGAUGUCAAGACCACCGCCUGGGACUUUUCAGGGAGAUGAGCAUGGUGCCAUCCAUCCCAGGUUCUUGAGCGAAGGUAGGGGCAGCGGAUGCCACUUUGGCUUUUGCUGCUCUCAGGAGUGAGCCAGGUUGGGGGUUCCUGCACAUGGGCCAGGACCUGAACUCCCCCCAGGCACCAAGGGAGGGGCCAGCCAUGUUCUCAUCCCCCCUGCCUGAUGUGGGCCAGUGGGAGGGGGAGGGCGGUUCAAAGCCGCCAGUGCCAAACAUCAAAAGUGGACUGUGUCUGCCAGCUUUUUUGUGGCUGUGACCAAAAGACCUGACAAGAGCCACACAGAGGAGGAGAAGUCGAUUUUGGCUCAUGGUUUCAGAGGUUCUGUCCACACUGGGCCAACCUCAUAGCUCUGGGCCGGAGGUGACGCAGCACAUCAUGGCAGGUGGGCGUGGAGGAGGAAAGGAGCUCGGACACGGCAGCCAGGAAGCAGAGGGAGUAAAUGCUCCACUCACCAAGGACAAGAUAAAACCCCAAAGCACACCACCAGUGACCUACUUCCUCCAGCCACAGCCCGCCUGGCUACCUGACCAUCCCGUUAGUGCACGUCAGCGGAUCAGGUUCACAACCCCGUAAUCCAAUCAUGUCAUCUCGGGAUGUCCUUGUGUUGACUUUUGGGGGAUGCCAUGUACCCAACCAUAACAUGGAGUCUUUCUCUUUAUUCCAUUCCCCCAGAUCAUUUCAAUGGGCAACUGAGACUGAGGCCACUGAUCAGGAUGACCAGUGUUUCCCCAAAGAAAAGAAUAUCUGAGGUGACCUCUAGAGUGCAGACUCUUAGGCUCUGACCAGUCCCACUGAAAGAGCAUUUCAGGGUGAGGCUGGGGGUCGGUGCAUCUGUCCAGGGGGCUCUGAUCAUCUGAGAGGGUUCGGAAGCCCAGCUCGACGCUGCUGGCCACAGGAAGGCUUGCUUCUGCCGUGAGCCCUCUUCCACUUUACCCAGGUGUGAAGGAGGAGUGGGGAGUGCUCACGUUCACUUCCAGGUGAGGAGCCGGGACCUCAGAGACAUCAGAGGGACCCAAGAAGCUGCCACUUGGUGACCUGGAGACAGCUUCUGAGCCAGACUCCCCGUGGUACUGGAUGGAGUGUUGAGUCCACACUUACUUGUUCCUUCACGGAGCAUUUCAGGUCCUAUGUGAACAACCCCAAGAGGCCAUGCCCUACUUAGGGACAUGGAAUUGGCUCUCGUGGUGGCCAGGCUUAGCGCCAUGACCCAGAUACCGUGCAGGUGACCCCGGCAGAGCAGACACAGCCAGCUGGUCUCCUUUGUACUAGGGCUUUCUUGUGCAGCCUGUGGGGACCACCAGUGUCCUUGUGACCAGCUGUCCCCUGGUCACCAGCAGCCCUGCUGGGCCUGGGGGAUUCCAGAAGAGAGUCCCUCUCACCUUCUGAGCUUGUGCUGCCCACCUGUAGGCUGUGUGCUCUGGGCUGUGAGUCUCACGAUUUGCAAGCUGGUAAUGACAAAGAUGGUCUCCCUGGCCAGACUCCAGUCAGCCUUCGGAACAUUCCUGUAUAUGGUUUGAAUAUACAGAGUCCCCAGAAGCUAUGUGAAAACAAUGUUCAGAGGUUAAACGAUCACACUAUGAAACCUUGACCUGAUUGCUGGAUUAAUCCAUUUGGUGGAUUAGUAAUUUGGAAGGAGGCCUGGGCUGGGUGGUGACCAUGGGCAGGGGGGGCGUGGAUGCAGAGGUGGGUGGCUGGGUCAUGCCCUUGGGACUGUGUCCUGUGUCCCUGGCUCCUCCCUCUCCCCUUCCCAGCCAGCGUCAGCUGAGUAGACACCCUCUCUCAAGCCCUUCGCCACAUGUUCUGCCUCGUCUCGGGCCCAGAGCAUCGGAGUUGGCCGACCAGGGGAUGAAACCUCUGAAACAGUCGCCCCAAAGGAACAGCAUCUUGUGGUUCUUGCUGGGUAUUUUGGUGGCAGCAACUAGCUAGUGCACUUCGCAAGGCCCGUCUGUGUGCUUCCCUGUAAAUCCAGUUUCCCGUGAACCCUGCCAAGUCACUUAGCCAAGAACCUCCUGCCAGUGGCUGACCCGGCUCAAGGUCUGACUCAGCUCCUCAUCCUGCACCAUCCCCGGGUGGUGUCUGACCCCCUGGCCCGUCCCGAGCAGGAACCUGUGAGGCCGCUUAACCAGCACCCCCCUAACUCCCGACAACUCCUCUUAGGAGCGCUCUGUCCUCUGACCCACCCUGUCCCUCAGAUACUUCCCCACUGUCCACGCUGCAUUCAGAGGUGAGCCCACUCUCUCCCCGACUGAGACGUCCCAAUGCCAUGGACCUGUCACCACGGUUCUGAAGAGCCUUCCUCGCCAUUCUCAAGGUUUCCAGCCAGUGACUGUCUAAUCAAUAGACACCACUCAGAAAAGCUGCAGCCUCCCGUCAGGCAGAGUAAGGAGGUGGACUCGCCACACCAGCCUCCCCGCAGCACUCCGCUCCUGUGGUCCCAGCCUGGUCACACAGGGACCACGGGAUUUGGGGAGCAUGAGGAUAGAGAGCACCAGGCCCAUAAGCAACCACUGCAGACGCGCUUCUGCAGAGCAGGACGUUUCCGACAGGACGACACUCGCUCAGCCCAGGAAACAAAACACAUUCCUGAGGAGACUGCUCAUGGGGCCGCCGGCAGGCGCGUGGGUGCCCACGAAUCCACACGUGGUCCUGGGCACUGUGCAAGGGCAGGGACGAAUGAUGGCACCGGGGACACUGUUUAUAAGAUAAGGACCACAACACCUUUUCGUAUUUGUAAGGAAUUAUAAUUUAGCCAGGUUGGGCACACAUUUUUGAAACCAUCUUUUUAAAAAGUUAAGUGUUAUUAUAUGACCCAGUGAUCCUGCUCCCUACCCAGGAAAAAUGAGAGUAUACAUCCACAGGAAGACCUGGGACAGAAGACCCAGAACAGCAGGGUGCAUUAGAGUAGCUCUUCCGAAACAGGGCAGGGGUCUCUGGUGGGGUUCCUAGGAGCACGCCUGAGUCAGGGAUUCGGGUGCCCAUGAUACAUGGACAGGGUGCCUUUUGGUGACCCCCGUAUGAAAGGAAGGAUGUAGGACAGAGAAGGGGAGGAGCUAAGCAAGAAUGUGUGCUCAGAUAAAGUCCAGUCUGGGUUUAAUCCCUGUGGUGGGGUGUGUGUGUGAACAUAAAAUGCUCCAUAGAAUUGUCCCAUCUGGAGGCAAGGGGACAAGGCUUUACAGUCUCUGCAUCGAGCCAGCUCUCAUGUAGCUGGGGGACAGGGGCUCCAAUAGGUAUAGGGACUCCAGCAGUUUCCGCCUCUCUCAAACUACAUGAAAACUGAGGCAAACAAAUAGGAUAAAAAUGAUAUCCUUCCCAGUCCAUAGACACCCCUUAAAUAGUCCCAAAGCAUUAGGAUGUAAUCACCCAGGGUCAAGGAGAGGCUGAAUCCUGAGAUGGUCCCAAUGACCCCACCUCUGAUUCCUGUCCUCAUCAGUAUCCCCUCUCCUGGGUCCCAGGACUUGUGACUUGUUUCCAGUCAAAAGAAUAUAUCAGAAGUGGUGGAUCGGGAAGGUCACUUUCUUGAGUAGGUUACGGUAUUUAAGAGCCUAUCUUGGCAGACUAGAGAGGAGGGAUUCUCCUGUGUCCUUGAGGAAGCAGCCAACUGUGUUGUAAAAGGCCCACGAGAGGCACACGUGGCAGGGAGCUGAGAGCGCCCCCUGCUGGUAGCAGCCAGAAAACAGAAACCCCAGCCCCAGUGUCACUGGGUUAGUUCAGCCAACCAUGGGAAGAGAGGGGGCUUAGAAGCAGAUCCCCCCCAGUGGAGGAUCUAGAGAAGAACACAUCACAGUCAACACCUCAGCAAGUCACCUCCAGACUCCUGACCCUUGGAAACUGGAAGAUGACGACCGCCUUGCUUUAAACUGCUAAGCUUCAAUUUGAUAGACAGCAAAGGAAAAUUAAUAUGGGGCGACACUGAGUAUUGGGCUAAAUGUGUGAUUCAUGGAAUGAUUAACAUUUAUGUAUGCUUAAAUAUAUUCCAGAAAUGCAAGGACUAUUAUUACACCUGUAGGAAAAGGGAUUAGAAAGCGAUUGUCUAGUGCAGCGUAAUGAAUUCACUGAACAACAUGUAAUUAAAUGCAGCCAAGUUCAAUCUGGGACUCUUUACAAGACUUCAAGCAUAUCAUUUCUGGCAGACAUCGGUAUAUAACAAAUCAUAAUUUAUCAAGCUACAAAGACAUUUUGAUUCUCUAAUUUGUUAAUAAAAUCCCCCAUUUCACAUCUCAAAUAA
RNAcentral lists this long non-coding RNA (5737 nucleotides) under Marmota monax (woodchuck). Lineage: Eukaryota; Metazoa; Chordata; Mammalia; Rodentia; Sciuridae. The record is from RNAcentral.